RNAcentral lists this long non-coding RNA (1436 nucleotides) under Ananas comosus (pineapple). Its description in RNAcentral is "long non-coding RNA (ACOM_LNC029021)". The record is from RNAcentral. Lineage: Eukaryota; Viridiplantae; Streptophyta; Magnoliopsida; Poales; Bromeliaceae.
AUAUAUAUAUAUAGAGAGAGAGAGAGAGAGAGAGAGAGAGAGAGAGAGUCCAGCUAUUAUCUUUUUACAAGAACGGAGACUUUCGUUCUCCGAAGUCGUUUUAGAUAAAAGGAAUCCGAAUCGAUAAUCAGAACCAUUAAAGUUGAUUUAGAAUAUUUAUAACGUCUAGAAACUAAAUUUCAUAAAAUUUAAAAUUCAUUAUUAAGUUCAUUGAAGAGUCGAAAGAUAAACGACAAAAAAUGAAUAACCUUGUGAAAAUAGAUAUUAGACUUUUUCAAUUCACGAUCAGAGUUAUCAAACGUUAUCUAAAUAGUACAAAAAAUUUUCUAUCAAAAAUUCAAGUUAUUUGGAUUAUUCUCCACCAUUAAACAAACAAACAGCUCAUAUAGACUGUAAAAAACUGUCAAUCUUAUGAUUCUUUGAUCACUAUGUAAAUAAUUUUUAAAAUUCAUGAAAUUUAGUUUCUAGACACUUUAAAUACUCUAGAUCAACUUUAACAGUUCUAAUCAUCGAUUUGAAAUCUCUAUCAUCUAAAAUGACUUAGGAGGACGAAAGCCUUUGUCCUCCUAAAAGGAUAAUAGCUGAAUUCUAUAUAUAUAAAAAGAGAAAGCAGGGCUACUGUAUUAUUAAAAGCACAGUAGCCUUUAUGUUUCUAACUUCCUAACAAUCCAUCAAUUUUAAUGAAUGGUUAGGGUGGAGAGAGAAAAUAAAUCAAGAAGAAAUUGAGUGUCUCAAUUUCUCUCCUCUUUGAAUUUUUUCCUCAUUUCUCUUCUCUCUCUCUUAUCCUAACCACCUAUCAAAAUUGAUAAAUUGUUAGAAAGCUAGAAACAUAAGGACUGUUGUACUCUAUAAUAUCACAGUAGCCCUACUAUAUGUGUGUGUGUGUGUGUGUGCGCGCGUGUAAGCUAGGCAGGUAUAUUAUUGGUAGCACGGUGGCCUUCGUGCUACCAUGUUUUCAAUGAAGUAGCUUCUAAAUUGACGAUUGGCUAUAAACUUGAUCUAGACUAUUGAAAAUAUUUGAAAACUAAAUUUCAUAAUUUUUCAACAUCAUUUACUUAUUAAAUGAGUAAAUCUUACAAAAAAUGAUGAUAAAAGACUUAAAUUUAAUAUCAGAGGUACUGAUCUUACUCUAAAUAGUAAAAAAAAUUUCUAUAAAAAAUUUAUUAGAUUUGGAUUGUUUUACACUCGUUAAAUUCACAAACGCAUCACAUCGAUCAUUAAAAUUAUUAAUUUUGAGACUUUUUGAUCACUAACCAAAUGAUGUCGAAAAAUUAUAAAAUCAAAUUUUCAAAUAUUUUUAAUAGUGUGGAUCAAGUCUAACGGAGCCGAUCGUCGAUUUGGAAACCGCAUCAUUAAAAAUAAUUUGGUAUUACGGAGGCCUCCGUGCUACCGAUAAUAUACCAGCCUAGCUCCUAAGGUGAUUUAAAUAUUUAGAA